RNAcentral lists this ribosomal RNA (415 nucleotides) under uncultured prokaryote. RNAcentral describes it as "bacterial SSU rRNA". It matches the Rfam family "Bacterial small subunit ribosomal RNA", at positions 505 to 918 of the family's 1533-position model. The record is from RNAcentral.
GUGUCAGCAGCCGCGGUAAUACGUAGGAGACGAGCGUUAUCCGGAUUUACUGGGCGUAAAGAGGGCGUAGGCGGUCUUUCAAGUCGGAUGUGAAAUCUCCCGGCUUAACUGGGAGGGGUCAUUCGAUACUGUUGGGCUAGAGGGCAGCAGAGGGAGGUGGAAUUCCCGGUGUAGUGGUGAAAUGCGUAGAUAUCGGGAGGAACACCAGUGGCGAAGGCGGCCUCCUGGGCUGUUUCUGACGCUGAGGCCCAAAAGCGUGGGGAGCGAACAGGAUUAGAUACCCUGGUAGUCCACGCUGUAAACUAUGGACACUAGGUAUGGGGAGUAUCGACCCUUUCCGUGCCGAAGCUAACGCUUUAAGUGUCCCGCCUGGGGACUACGGCCGCAAGGCUAAAACUUAAAUGAAUUGACGGGG